GUGGCUGAACACCUUGGAACUGCCAGGAGACAGCACCGGCUUCAUUUGAGAGUCCUGCCUGGACCGGGAGGAAAGGACUCCAAGGGGAAGCGUUCUGAGCGUUUGGGAUCAGAAACCGCCCCUUGGGGCGAAGGAAAAACCGGAAACCAAAUGUCUUCACUACCUGCAAUUGCAGAACUGUAUUUGAACAGGAGUGCAAGUGGGGUACAGGCUCAAGGAAAGUAGUUCAGAGCUCCCGACACUACCUCCUGGCUGGUCGUCUCCAGCCCCUCUCCAUGCCGUGGUGCCAGGGAAAGGUAUGAACCAGCAGCAUUACCAUCUGGGCACUGAAGCUUUCCGAGGUGAAACCUGGGACGCUGCUUUCCACAAUAUCUUUUCCUGGUAACCAUGUUCUCUUUUCCUUUCUUCACAUUUGAUAAAACAGCAUAUAAGCCUUAUACUUUUUUUUUUUUUUUUUAAGGUGGUAUAGAUGAUAGCAGCAGCGCAGAAUUUGAACCCAGUCGAUCUGAUUCUAGAGCUCCUGCAUUUAACCACCUGGGCUGUGGCACCUCAUCAUGCCAGCAUCACUUAU
Molecule: long non-coding RNA, 571 nt
Filed under: Cervus hanglu yarkandensis (Yarkand deer)
Lineage: Eukaryota; Metazoa; Chordata; Mammalia; Artiodactyla; Cervidae
Description: lncRNA (ENSCHYG00000009934.1)
Source: RNAcentral